Molecule: long non-coding RNA, 661 nt
Organism: Heterocephalus glaber (naked mole-rat)
Lineage: Eukaryota; Metazoa; Chordata; Mammalia; Rodentia; Bathyergidae
Source: RefSeq, a predicted model, not a curated record
UAAAAACCCUGGAACUGACUAUAGAGUCUGAACUUCUUUACUGCUAAGAAAUUAUAAUCGACUCUAUACCUCAUUGCCUGGCCUCUGCUCGCAGACAAGUCAUAUCUUCCAGCCACGCGAAAGGUUUAAAGUUAAUGUCAUAAAAUUUUUACUAUCCCAAUUAUACAGCACAACAACACAUUUCCAGAAAUUUACAGGGUUGUUAGUUCAAGUUUCCAGAUAAGGAAAUUGAUAAUAGAAGUGAAGAUGAAGGAUACCAACAUUAUUGGGAACAAUGUUUGAGAUAUUGAUCUAAUUAUUUCUCAAGUGUUAACUCAUUCAACCCAAGCAUGAAAGCACCCUGUAAGAAACCUGCUUGGUGAACUUGCAGCAGAAGAACAUGAGUACCAAAACUAUUUGUGUCUGUUCUGAAGGAGCCUCCCGAGGAGAGCAAACACUGCAAACCUCUGCUAGAGAAACUAUGUUUGAGUCCCAGUAUCCCAACUCUCCCACGUACUUGCUGGCUAUUCUGGGAGGCUACGAAUGUGAGUCAAACAGAUUAAAUAAAUGGUCCCUGACCACCGGUAUGGAAGAGAUACUGUUGGAACCAAGGCUCUGAGUCAUCAAAGUCGGUGAUCUGUUGAGCUCUCCCCAUCUGUGUCCCAGAUGUUACAGAAAGCCC